GUUAAAAUAAUUUAAUUAAAAUAUUGGUUUUGUAAACCAGCAUUGGAUGAUCCUUUUAACA
RNAcentral lists this transfer RNA (61 nucleotides) under Haemaphysalis mageshimaensis. RNAcentral describes it as "tRNA-Thr". The record is from RNAcentral. Lineage: Eukaryota; Metazoa; Arthropoda; Arachnida; Ixodida; Ixodidae.